GGUUAAUUCGAAGGUGAGUUAUCGCAAUUGGUUGUUCAGUCAGUUGCAGAUUCAAUUUUUUGUUCUACUCUUUGCUUCUUACUGCUGCAUUUGACUAGUCUUUA
RNAcentral lists this non-coding RNA (104 nucleotides) under Piliocolobus tephrosceles (Ugandan red Colobus). The record is from RNAcentral. Lineage: Eukaryota; Metazoa; Chordata; Mammalia; Primates; Cercopithecidae.